GUGAUUAGGGGCAGUCCUGUAUCAUUUUCACAAUUAUAGUAUAUGUCAUUUCAUACUUGUGGACUGCCAACAAGAGAGCACUGUCCAUCCAGAGGAAAAAUACUGCCUGCAAUCGCUUUCAAGGGCUGAGAGAGGCAAAUGUUUACUCACAGGCACAGCUUUUCUGACCAUGAAUAGUCCCUGUGCUUUCAAAGGGAUUAAGCCUGGUAGACGUGUGCUGGGGACUGGAGCUGUGCAUAUGCUGCAGGCAGCUUUCCUUUGGCUGAAGAUACAGAAAGCUGGAGUGGCAUUAACAGCUGCCUGAAGCACAGGUUACAGUAAAGUAUAUCAUGUUCAUAUCAUCAUUGCAUACCUUGGAUUCCACUGGAAGCCUGAAGUCUGGGAGUGAGGAGAACUCUUUGGACCAUAAAUACAUUAGCUUGGCGUGAUGAACUAUGUGAAUUUGUCCUUCAGUUAAGGGUAAAGAAGAAAGCACUUUUAUUCCACAGUCAUAUUCUUGAGACUGCUGUAGUGCAAAUCAAGACAGGAUUUUUUCUCUUGUCCCAGAAAACUUGGAGACAUUUCUGUCUGUAACAUAUACUACUGAAAUUCUCAAUACGUGUAUAUAUCUGAGGCAAAGUUAAAUGUAAAUCUUCAUUCACAAUCAAACUUAAAUAAUAA
Agelaius phoeniceus (red-winged blackbird) is the source of this 660-nucleotide non-coding RNA. The record is from RefSeq and is a predicted model, not a curated record. Lineage: Eukaryota; Metazoa; Chordata; Aves; Passeriformes; Icteridae.